AGUCGAGCGAAGCUUUUCAGUAGUUUACUACAGAAAAUGACUGAGCGGCGAACGGGUGAGUAACGCGUGAGCAAUCUACCUUAGUUACAGGGAUAGCCCGAGGAAACUCGGAUUAAUACCUGAUAUUCUUUAUAUUUCGCAUGAAAUUAAAAGGAAAGGUCAGCCGAACUAAGAUGAGCUCGCGUUCUAUCAGCUAGUUGGUGAGGUAAAAGCUUACCAAGGCUACGACGGAUAGCUGGUCUGAGAGGACGAUCAGCCACACUGGGACUGAGACACGGCCCAGACUCCUACGGGAGGCUGCAGCAGGGAAUAUUGCGCAAUGAGCGAAAGCUUGACGCAGCGACACCGCGUGUGGGAUGACGGAUCUAGGUUUGUAAACCACUUUCAGGAGGGAAGAAAAUGACGGUACCUCCACAAGA
Molecule: ribosomal RNA, 419 nt
Filed under: uncultured bacterium
Lineage: Bacteria
Description: bacterial SSU rRNA
Rfam family: Bacterial small subunit ribosomal RNA
Source: RNAcentral